This 575-nucleotide ribosomal RNA is filed under the name Bacillus sp. SDT18b. RNAcentral's name for it is "bacterial SSU rRNA". It matches the Rfam family "Bacterial small subunit ribosomal RNA", at positions 382 to 948 of the family's 1533-position model. The record is from RNAcentral. Lineage: Bacteria; Bacillati; Bacillota; Bacilli; Caryophanales; Bacillaceae.
UCUGACGGAGCACGCCGCGUGAGUGAUGAAGGUUUUCGGAUCGUAAAGCUCUGUUGUUAGGGAAGAACAAGUACCGUUCGAAUAGGGCGGUACCUUGACGGUACCUAACCAGAAAGCCACGGCUAACUACGUGCCAGCAGCCGCGGUAAUACGUAGGUGGCAAGCGUUGUCCGGAAUUAUUGGGCGUAAAGGGCUCGCAGGCGGUUUCUUAAGUCUGAUGUGAAAGCCCCCGGCUCAACCGGGGAGGGUCAUUGGAAACUGGGGAACUUGAGUGCAGAAGAGGAGAGUGGAAUUCCACGUGUAGCGGUGAAAUGCGUAGAGAUGUGGAGGAACACCAGUGGCGAAGGCGACUCUCUGGUCUGUAACUGACGCUGAGGAGCGAAAGCGUGGGGAGCGAACAGGAUUAGAUACCCUGGUAGUCCACGCCGUAAACGAUGAGUGCUAAGUGUUAGGGGGUUUCCGCCCCUUAGUGCUGCAGCUAACGCAUUAAGCACUCCGCCUGGGGAGUACGGUCGCAAGACUGAAACUCAAAGGAAUUGACGGGGGCCCGCACAAGCGGUGGAGCAUGUGGUUUA